ACGCCUGCCACGGUCGGUCGGGAGCAGGUAGGGCUGACUGCAGGGGCUGGUAACCUAGGCGACUCUCUCCCCAAGUGCUCAGGGAGACACAGCUUUCAAUGUUUACAAAAUUCUAUGAUUUCUCCCACUCCAAAGGGAGGGACCCCAAGACCUGCUGGAGCCGGGGCGUUUGGCCAUCGGGGAGAGGCCAUCCACGUUGACGGGGAGAGGGGCAACUGCACGGGGUACCCGGGCGGCCUCUGCCGUGCGGAGCUGGAUAGAGCUGCCGGUGUUUAUUUGGGUGACCUGGAUUUUUGAACAUACCGUCUCCAGCCCUGACAAGUUUGAAACCUUGAAGAAAGAGGAGGAGGGCACAGGUGUGAGGAGGCUUCAGUGAGGGAGACAGGCCAUUGACCCGGGUGUCACCGGUGAUUUUUGCCCCGGCCUUCCAGGGAACGAGGCCCUGCUGCAGACGUUUCCCAGCCGCUGCGUCCAGCACCCACGGCUCCCACGUGUGCAGUCCGUCCUCUCCCUCUGCCGGUGCCUGGGAAGCUCCGUAAAGUUCUUUGAGGUCAAGGCCGUGGGACCUUCUUCUAGCCCCCCGAAACACGAAGCACAGGUCAGAACUUCUCCAGUGUGAUAGGCAUCUUUUGGAAAGUAAGUGAAAUGAUGGUGCGUGGCACAUGAGUGAACAUUUUAAAGCUAAUGUUUAGAUAUUUAUUUCACCAAGUAUUGUGUAUAUUAAAAAUAUAUACAUAAUGAGUGAGAUGUGCACCAUCUGGGGGAUGGUCAUACUGGAAACUCAGAC
Molecule: non-coding RNA, 787 nt
Organism: Microcebus murinus (gray mouse lemur)
Lineage: Eukaryota; Metazoa; Chordata; Mammalia; Primates; Cheirogaleidae
Source: RefSeq, a predicted model, not a curated record